UACAGAGGUCCCAAGCGUUGUUCGGAUUCAUUGGGCGAAAAGGGUGCGUAGGCGGCGCGGUAAGUCGGGUGUGAAAUCUCGGGGCUUAACUCCGAAACUGCAUUCGAUACUGCCGUGCUUGAGGACUGGAGAGGAGACUGGAAUUUACGGUGUAGCGGUGAAAUGCGUAGAUAUCGUAAGGAAGACCAGUGGCGAAGGCGGGUCUCUGGACAGUUCCUGACGCUGAGGCACGAAGGCCAGGGGAGCAAACGGG
Molecule: ribosomal RNA, 253 nt
Filed under: uncultured bacterium
Lineage: Bacteria
Description: partial 16S ribosomal RNA
Rfam family: Bacterial small subunit ribosomal RNA
Source: RNAcentral